CCUACGGGAGGCAGCAGUGGGGAAUAUUGGACAAUGGGGGCAACCCUGAUCCAGCAAUGCCGCGUGUGUGAAGAAGGUCUUCGGAUUGUAAAGCACUUUCGACGGGGACGAUGAUGACGGUACCCGUAGAAGAAGCCCCGGCUAACUUCGUGCCAGCAGCCGCGGUAAUACGUAGGUGCCAGCAGCCGCGGUAAUACGUAGGUGCCAGCAGCCGCGGUAAUACGUUCUGCCAGCAGCCGCGGUA
Molecule: ribosomal RNA, 244 nt
Filed under: uncultured Acetobacter sp.
Lineage: Bacteria; Pseudomonadati; Pseudomonadota; Alphaproteobacteria; Acetobacterales; Acetobacteraceae
Description: partial 16S ribosomal RNA
Rfam family: Bacterial small subunit ribosomal RNA (bases 1-183)
Source: RNAcentral